CUUCUCUGAUGUUAGCGGCGGACGGGUGGGUAACACGUGGGUAACCUACCUAUAAGACUGGGAUAACUCCGGGAAACCGGGGGCUAAUACCGGAUAAUAUUUUGAACCGCAUGGUUCAAUAGUGAAAGACGGUUUCGGCUGUCACUUAUAGAUGGACCCGCGCCGUAUUAGCUAGUUGGUAAGGUAACGGCUUACCAAGGCGACGAUACGUAGCCGACCUGAGAGGGUGAUCGGCCACACUGGAACUGAGACACGGUCCAGACUCCUACGGGAGGCAGCAGUC
Molecule: ribosomal RNA, 283 nt
Filed under: uncultured Staphylococcus sp.
Lineage: Bacteria; Bacillati; Bacillota; Bacilli; Caryophanales; Staphylococcaceae
Description: partial 16S ribosomal RNA
Rfam family: Bacterial small subunit ribosomal RNA
Source: RNAcentral